UCACCCCUCAAGCCCCCGGCUUGGUGUUGGACUCAGUCGUCGCUCGCCCGGUGACUGGUCUCGAAGACAGUGACGCCGUCCCAGAGGGAACCGGUACGAGGAGCUUUCUUUAAUCGAAGCAUGUGCCGGGAAGACUUUCGCGGGCGGUGGUCUCUUGCACCCACAAAUUUUCAAG
RNAcentral lists this unclassified non-coding RNA (175 nucleotides) under uncultured Cladophialophora. RNAcentral's name for it is "sequence contains ITS2". The record is from RNAcentral. Lineage: Eukaryota; Fungi; Ascomycota; Eurotiomycetes; Chaetothyriales; Herpotrichiellaceae.